CCCUCCCCAGUGCCCUCAUUCCCCUGCUUCUGGGGCCUGUACUCUCCCCUAAAAGCUAGGACUAUAGGCCAGGGGACAGACUGUAUCCUAUAAGCCAUUAUCUACAUCCAUCCUUUCCCAACUCCUCUGUGGGACAAAAUGGACCUGAGUAAACACUGCAGCUUGUCAUACUGCUACUCAUGUUCCCUACGUCUAACUGUUCUUAUGGAAGUCACUUCUUUGCUGUUCGAGAUCUCCAUGAAAACCCAACUGAGGGAAGUGAAAGAAGUCUGGAAGUACCAAAUACCUCCCAAUGCCUUCCUUCACAGAUGGCAGAGACUGGAUUUGCAGCUCACUCCACUUUGUAUUACUGCCCUCCCUGGGUUCAAUUCAAUGGAAAAAGAUGCACGCUUGCCUAGUUCCUUCUUUGGCUGUGGAGAAUAUUCUUUCAUCAUGCAUGCCUUGUGGAUAUCUAGGGACCUUACUUUGCUUAAAAUAGUUGCAUUCUCUGAUAAUGUUCCUGGUGAUACCUGAAAGUCAGGUGAUAUCAGUCUCCAAAGAAAUAAAAAUGCAGAUCAACCAGAAGGCA
Long non-coding RNA from Monodelphis domestica (gray short-tailed opossum), 568 nucleotides. NCBI's taxonomy places the organism in Eukaryota, Metazoa, Chordata, Mammalia, Didelphimorphia, Didelphidae. The record is from Ensembl.